GGGGAUUUAGCUCAGCGGUAGAGCGCUUGCCUAGCGAGCGCAAGGCCCUGGGUUCGGUUCCCAGCUCCG
Non-coding RNA from Rattus norvegicus (Norway rat), 69 nucleotides. The record is from Rfam. Lineage: Eukaryota; Metazoa; Chordata; Mammalia; Rodentia; Muridae.